RNAcentral lists this ribosomal RNA (289 nucleotides) under uncultured bacterium. Its description in RNAcentral is "partial 16S ribosomal RNA". It matches the Rfam family "Bacterial small subunit ribosomal RNA", at positions 28 to 334 of the family's 1533-position model. The record is from RNAcentral.
GAUGAACGCUGGCGGCGUGCUUAACACAUGCAAGUCGAAUGUAGCAAUACAUGGCGGACGGGUGAGUAACGCGUGAGCAAUCUGCCCUUAUCUGGGGGAUAACAGUUGGAAACGACUGAUAAUACCGCAUAACAUCGAGAGAAGGCAUCUUCUUUCGAUCAAAGAUUUAUCGGAUAAGGAUGAGCUCGCGUCUGAUUAGCUUGUUGGUGAGGUAACGGCUCACCAAGGCGACGAUCAGUAGCCGACCUGAGAGGGUGAUCGGCCACAUUGGAACUGAGACACGGUCCAA